CCUACGGGCGGCAGCAGUGGGGAAUAUUGCGCAAUGGGCGAAAGCCUGACGCAGCGACGCCGCGUGAGGGAUGAAGGUCUUCGGAUCGUAAACCUCUGUCAGCAGGGAAGAACGGUCACUGUGCUAAUCAGCAGUGAAUUGACGGUACCUGCAAAGGAAGCACCGGCUACCUCCGUGCCAGCAGCCGCGGUAAUACGGAGGGUGCGAGCGUUAAUCGGAAUUACUGGGCGUAAAGCGCUCGUAGGCGGUAUGCCAAGUCAAGGGUGAAAUCCCCGCGCUCAACGUGGGAACUGCCUUUGAAACUGGCAAACUGGGGUGUGUGAGAGGAUAGUGGAAUUCCAGGUGUAGGAGUGAAAUCCGUAGAUAUCUGGAGGAACAUCAGUGGCGAAGGCGACUAUCUGGCACAUAACUGACGCUGAGGAGCGAAAGCGUGGGUAGCAAACAGGAUUAGAUACCCGAGUAGUC
Molecule: ribosomal RNA, 465 nt
Filed under: uncultured bacterium
Lineage: Bacteria
Description: partial 16S ribosomal RNA
Rfam family: Bacterial small subunit ribosomal RNA
Source: RNAcentral